Molecule: long non-coding RNA, 1210 nt
Filed under: Sus scrofa (pig)
Lineage: Eukaryota; Metazoa; Chordata; Mammalia; Artiodactyla; Suidae
Description: lncRNA (ENSSSCG00015034503.1)
Source: RNAcentral
AUGGCAAACGUAGAGGCUGUAACCCAAGCAACCAUGCGGACCAGAGGCCUCAGCUGCAGGGAUGGGAAGUGGAAUCCGUCUGUCCUCCCAGGGAGCACAGGUGCAGCACAGGGCAGGAAAGAAGAUGAAGAAGGCUUUAGACUGAAAGAACUGUCUCGAUCGCAGCCCGCCUUCUUCCCAGACCCCUUCUUCCCCCAGCCCCAGGCUGGGGCAACAGGCCCCCCCUGCCACACGCCACCGCACAUGCCCAAAACCUGAAGUCAACCCUGCCCCUCCGCCCUCCCCACACCCGCACCCAGGGACAUGGCCCGCGGAUGCCAACCCGGAAGCGCUCUCGGAGCCUGUUGCGUCCUUUCCUUCCCCCAGCAGCCCACCCCUGGGCUGCGGAAAUCUCUGAACUGGUCACCCACAUCCAGUCUUUCCUUUCUCCCCGGUCCCCAGGGGAAGGUCCUGAAACCCACGCAGGCCUGGCCAUCACGCUGGCGCUGAAAAACUUCCCUUGACCCCUAGUGUCUGCCAGACAAAUUGUAAUAUUCCUGGGUGUCCCAGGUGUCCCAGGCCCAUGAGCGACCCUCUGUGUUUUCACUUGUUGCUCUUCCUGCCGGGAUGCCCUGCCCUCUCCGUCUUUGUGUCUGAGAGGGUGAAUCAGCUGUCUUGGCAAUGAUUAGGGCAGCGACGCCAGAGUAGAUGACCUCUUUGCGUGUGAGCAACGUGGCAGCAUAUGCCGUUUGGUAAGGGGUUUGCUAGGUGAGUACGUGUGAGUAUGUGUGAUGUAUACACCUUUCCACAUCCAGCCUGGCUCCUGGCAGUGUCCUGUGGCAGAACAAGCUUCCUUCUGAGCCCCGAUUAGGCUGCAGCCCCUGGAAGGGGCCCCCAUUCCUCCUUGAAUGUCUAACCUGCAAGCUGGGCCCGUGCCUGAGCCCUGGCUUACUGCAGGACAUCUAGUCGCACCAGUGGCACCACCCAGCGUGAGCCUUUGAGAAACAUGUUCCUAAGCACAGCUUCGUGGACCUGCUGGGCUGGCAGGUGCGGGAAUUUGAGCGAUUGCAAUUUGCACAGGUCGACCCUCAGGCAAGCACGCCACCAAUUAUUUCUUGGUGAGCAGCUGCAUCAGUCUUUUGUAGCAUAAUGACAGGGAGUUCGGGAAGCGAGCUUCUGUGAUGGCUUUGGCUGGGGAGCUUUUUCAGCUGCCUCUGUCUUUGCCAGCCAC